Molecule: ribosomal RNA, 490 nt
Filed under: uncultured bacterium
Lineage: Bacteria
Description: partial 16S ribosomal RNA
Rfam family: Bacterial small subunit ribosomal RNA
Source: RNAcentral
AUUGAACGCUGGCGGCAGGCCUAACACAUGCAAGUCGAACGGUAACAGGAAGCAGCUUGCUGCUUUGCUGACGCGUGGCGGACGGGUGAGUAAUGUCUGUGAAACUGCCCGAUGGCGGGGGAUAACUCCUGGAAACGGUAGCUAAUACCGCAUAACGUCGCAAGACCAAAGAGGGGUACCUUAGGGCCUCUUGCCAUCCGCUGUUCCCAGAUGGGAUUAGCUAGUAGGUGGGGUAACGGCUCACCUAGGCGACGAUCCCUAGCUGGUCUGAGAGGAUGACCAGCCACACUGGAACUGAGACACGGUCCAGACUCCUACGGGAGGCAGCAGUGGGGAAUAUUGCACAAUGGGCGCAAGCCUGAUGCAGCCAUGCCGCGUGUAUGAAGAAGGCCUUCGGGUUGUAAAGUACUUUCAGCGGGGAGGAAGGGAGUAAAGUUAAUACCUUUGCUCAUUGACGUUACCCGCAGAAGAAGCACCGGCUAACUCCGUG